RNAcentral lists this ribosomal RNA (442 nucleotides) under uncultured bacterium. RNAcentral describes it as "bacterial SSU rRNA". It matches the Rfam family "Bacterial small subunit ribosomal RNA", at positions 958 to 1401 of the family's 1533-position model. The record is from RNAcentral.
AACGCGAAGAACCUUACCUGGGUUUGACAUCUCCGGACAAUCGUAGAGAUACGACUUUUGUAGCAAUACAACCGGAAGACAGGUGCUGCAUGGCUGUCGUCAGCUCGUGUGGUGACAUGUUGGGUUAAGUCCCGCAACGAGCGCAACCCUUAUCUUUAGUUGCCAGCAUUCAGUUGGGCUCUCUAGAGAGACUGCCGUGGUGAACACGGAGGAAGGUGGGGAUGACGUCAAGUCCUCAUGGCCUUUAUAUCCAGGGCGACACACGUGAUACAAUGGUCGGUACAGAGGGAAGCGAACCCGCGAGGGGGAGCUAAUCUCAAAAAGCCGAUCUCAGUUCGGAUUGGAGUCUGCAACUCGACUCCAUGAAGUUGGAAUCGCUAGUAAUCGCGGAUCAGCACGCCGCGGUGAAUACGUUCCCGGGCCUUGUACACACCGCUACAGU